Molecule: ribosomal RNA, 253 nt
Filed under: uncultured bacterium
Lineage: Bacteria
Description: partial 16S ribosomal RNA
Rfam family: Bacterial small subunit ribosomal RNA
Source: RNAcentral
UACGUAGGGUGCGAGCGUUAAUCGGAAUUACUGGGCGUAAAGCGUGCGUAGGCGGUUCGUUAAGUUCGUUGUGAAAGCCCCGGGCUCAACCUGGGAAUGGCAAUGGAAACUGGCGGGCUGGAGUAUGGCAGAGGGGGGUGGAAUUCCGCGUGUAGCAGUGAAAUGCGUAGAUAUUCGGAAGAACACCAGUGGCGAAAGCGGCCACCUGGACUGCACCUGACGCUGACACGCGAAAGCUAGGGGAGCGAACGGG